GUAGGGAAUAUUGGGCAAUGGUCGGAAGACUGACCCAGCCAUGCCGCGUGCAGGAAGACGGCCCUCUGGGUUGUAAACUGCUUUUAUCUGGGAAGAAAAAGGCCAUGCGUGGCAAAUUGCCGGUACCAGAUGAAUAAGCACCGGCUAACUCCGUGCCAGCAGCCGCGGUAAUACGGAGGGUGCGAGCGUUGUCCGGAUUUAUUGGGUUUAAAGGGUGCGUAGGCGGCUGAUUAAGUCAGCGGUGAAAGACUUCGGCUUAACCGGGGCAGUGCCGUUGAUACUGGUUGGCUUGAGUGUCGGAGGGGUACAUGGAAUUGAUGGUGUAGCAGUGAAAUGCAUAGAUACCAUCAGGAACACCGAUAGCGAAGGCAUUGUACUGGCCGACAACUGACGCUGAUGCACGAAAGUGUGGGGAUCGAACAGGAUUAGAAACCCCUGUAGUCC
This 444-nucleotide ribosomal RNA is filed under the name uncultured bacterium. Its description in RNAcentral is "partial 16S ribosomal RNA". It matches the Rfam family "Bacterial small subunit ribosomal RNA", at positions 354 to 796 of the family's 1533-position model. The record is from RNAcentral.